This is a long non-coding RNA of Aotus nancymaae (Ma's night monkey), 456 nucleotides long. NCBI's taxonomy places the organism in Eukaryota, Metazoa, Chordata, Mammalia, Primates, Aotidae. The record is from Ensembl.
GCUCUGCUUAAGGCCUGUAAGGCUCAUGGUCUUCUAAUAUCCUGAAGCAGGUUCAUUGCAUAUCAGAAAUAAAUGAUGCAGAACCAAGUUUUGGAGGGAUUACGCCAACAUGGCCUAAUAAUAGGAACAGCUCUGGAAUGCAGUUCCCAGCGAGAGACAUGCAGAAGGUGAGUGAUCUCUGCAUUUCCAACCAAGGUACCAGGUUCAUUUAAAUGGGACUGGUUGGACAGUGGGUAUAGCCCAAGGAGGGCAAAGUGAGGCAGGACAGGGCACUGCCUCACCUGAGAAGUGCAACUGACCAGAGGAUCAGGGACUUUUCCCCCUCUAGCGCUCAGGUUCAGAUACUGUGCUUCUCCUAUGCCCUCUGCAACCUACAGACCAGGAGAUUCCUGACAGGCUGAAAAGUGCUGCAAGUUACCAGCACAGAUCUGGGCAGACGUUUCGACUAGCACUGAG